This 1050-nucleotide long non-coding RNA is filed under the name Hordeum vulgare. Its description in RNAcentral is "long non-coding RNA (HVUL_LNC021174)". Lineage: Eukaryota; Viridiplantae; Streptophyta; Magnoliopsida; Poales; Poaceae. The record is from RNAcentral.
CAGACUAACUGCAUAACACAGAGACACAACACCAGAGAAAUCAUUCACACUCAAAAUGCAUGUAAGUUCCUCAAACAUGCGUGAGACAUUAGUAAAUACUUACUGAUUAAAUUACUAUCAUGGUAAUCUUUGUUAUAUACUUUCGUUUGCAAUAUAUAAACUACGAGUUAGCUCGAUGGGAAAUAAUAUGUAGUUCAAAGAAGCUCCAACUGAAUUUCAGUGGUUCCAUAACUUAAAAUGGUGGUAUACGGAAAAUCACCUUUUAUAGUUCGAAAGCAUGUACAUUUAUUUACAAGUCAAAUUAUAAACACAAUUUGACAGUAAGACUCUAAGGACGAGCGCAGUUCAAUGUCUACAAGUUCUCCCCUUCGCAUCUCUUUCCUUCAGCAAGCAUUGAGAAAAGGUAGAUGAAAGAUGAAAUAAGCCACAAACCGGUUUGGAAUUACUAUUUUUGAAGCAAUUAAAGUAAACGCUGGGAUAUGUAUCUUGCCACAUGAAAUUGAGUGAUAAUUUUCAAGGCGGAUCUAGCAUCAUAACUAACACACUCAGAUUAGUAAACCAAAUUACUUAAUCCAACCAUAGCUGAAUCUGCCACAAUUUGCACACCUUUUUUCAACUUGGACGCGUUGCACAUAUGCUUUCCACGGAUGUAAUGCUAUCAUAUGCUUUUAUAUGAGGACAUUUAGGGGAAGGGACGAUGAAAGCAAACAUAUGCUGGUUGAAAUUUGUGAAAAACAAGGUGAAUCUGAAUUAGAUAGAUAUAUGGACAACAUGAAGUAACAAGGUCGCUAAAAACUAAUGCACUUCCAAGUAAGGUAGCUAAAAAGAUAAAAUAAUAAGAACUUCCAUAAUUAAAUGAAGGAAUGAGAAAUAAUACAUCACAUCAACACAAUGGAUCCACAGAAAUAACUAAACUUUUACUGAAUCACAGAAAACUAACACGUAGCUAACUAGAGAAAACUACCACCACAAACAAUCUUACCAGGAGGAUGUUGACAAUUUAAUGAGCGAAUAAUGAUUUACCAUCGAUUGGAGAAUGGGUCUAUAUAU